This 182-nucleotide ribosomal RNA is filed under the name uncultured Veillonellaceae bacterium. RNAcentral's name for it is "partial 16S ribosomal RNA". It matches the Rfam family "Bacterial small subunit ribosomal RNA", at positions 168 to 334 of the family's 1533-position model. Lineage: Bacteria; Bacillati; Bacillota; Negativicutes; Veillonellales; Veillonellaceae. The record is from RNAcentral.
ACCGCAUACGAUCUGACCUCGGCAUCGAGGAUAGAUGAAAGGUGGCCUCUACAUGUAAGCUAUCACUGAAGGAGGGGAUUGCGUCUGAUUAGCUAGUUGGAGGGGUAACGGCCCACCAAGGCGAUGAUCAGUAGCCGGUCUGAGAGGAUGAACGGCCACAUUGGGACUGAGACACGGCCCAG